UACGGGGGGAGCAAGCGUUGUUCGGAUUUACUGGGCGUAAAGGGCACGUAGGCGGCCUCCGCAAGUCAAUUGUGAAAUCUCCGGGCUUAACUCGGAAAGGUCAACUGAUACUGCGGGGCUAGAGUGCGGAAGGGGCAACUGGAAUUCUUGGUGUAGCGGUGAAAUGCGUAGAUAUCAAGAGGAACACCUGCGGCGAAGGCGGGUUGCUGGGCCGACACUGACGCUGAGGCGCGAAAGCUAGGGGAGCGAACGGG
RNAcentral lists this ribosomal RNA (254 nucleotides) under uncultured bacterium. Its description in RNAcentral is "partial 16S ribosomal RNA". It matches the Rfam family "Bacterial small subunit ribosomal RNA", at positions 524 to 776 of the family's 1533-position model. The record is from RNAcentral.